GUUAAAAUGGUUCAAUUUAGUUUUCCUUUUUUGCAAUCUCAUUUCGCGUGAGAACAUACAAGUUGAUAUUUUGUACGACGUUGAGAUGGUAACAUUUUCUUAGGCUAACAUUUUUUUUCGUUGUCGUUUAAUUUGAAAUGUGUUUUAGGUGCUACAUUUAGGUCAAAACCCUAAUUUGUCCUUCUAUAUGCAUUAGUCUCUUCUGGACUAUGAAAGACACAAGACACAAAGUGACGAGCUUCAACUGCCGGUAGCAACACUUACUGAAGUUUCUGCUUUUGACGUUGAUAAUCCAACACUGCGACGUUGCGGCGUUUCUUUCAUCUGAGAUUCCUCUGGAUUUGGAGGACGGCGGCGAACAAAAAGAGUGGUAGCGGAAGAUCUAGAAGAGCAACGAAAUUGAAGUUUGUCGGCAUCGAAUUUAGGUUGGUUAAAUGACCUUGAUUCUCCACCGCUGUCGUGUAAUAUACAUAUUCUCUUAGGGGGAGGCAACUCCACCGUUUGUUUGCUCUGUAAUCUUUUUUUUUCUUCACUGAUAUUCAUACCGUAUUAUUUUUUAUGGGUUAUUUGAUUUUUUGGAGUCUGGUCUUGAUCGUCUGCUAUCAAUUGUUUAGGCUUUCUAGCUUGCUUCUGGUGUUCCCCGGCAAAUUUAAAGAAGGCGGCAUGAUCGAAGAUGGCAAGACGAGGUUAUUUAGGAACUUCGAUGUUUAGUGAUACACUAUCGUGCACGUUAACUGUCUUGCCAAGAUCAAUCUGGCGGGCCCACUCGAUACUGUUUGGGUCAACAAUUGUUGAAUAUCGACAGGUCUUAUCAGCUUUCGGUUUAGUGCACAAGAUUGUUGCAUUUCAGAAGGCUGCUGAUUUUCAGGUGAAGAUUUGAUGAAGAAUUUAUUUAUUUUUCAUUCAGCUGGCUGAAUCUGUGUCUGCAGCCUGUGCCUAUGACACGCUUAUAUAACAUAUUUCUUUCGCGUCUGAUUCUUCAAUUUGUUUAUUCAGUCUUCCGCGUUCCUCCCCACCUAAGUUUUGUGCAUUGCUGGAAAUUUCGUCCUUGCUGAUUGUUGUAAUUUUCGCUUGUAAUAUUUUUUGCUUCCGCUGUUGCGCUAGAUGUUCCUGAUACUUUUACAACAAGGUUUUGUUUGAGUGAUUCUGUUGCACAAAGAUUAAUUUAGAUUAUGUGUAAAUGCAUUGGUAUUCUUUUUUAA
Molecule: non-coding RNA, 1202 nt
Organism: Erythranthe guttata (spotted monkey flower)
Lineage: Eukaryota; Viridiplantae; Streptophyta; Magnoliopsida; Lamiales; Phrymaceae
Source: RefSeq, a predicted model, not a curated record